UGGACGAAAGUGCUAUCGUGGUUAAAAUCCAAGGUUAUUUUGAUGCAUGGCAAGCUCUCCUCAUCAAACCAGACAUCUUCUUUAAGAUUUCUUGGCUAUACAAAAAGUAUGAGAAGUCUGUCAAGGAUUUGAAAGAUGCCAUGGAAGUUCUGAUAGCAGAAAAAAGACGCAGGAUUUCCACAGAAGAGAAACUGGAAGAAUGUAUGGACUUUGCCACUGAGUUGAUUUUAGCAGAGAAACGUGGUGACCUGACAAGAGAGAAUGUGAACCAGUGCAUAUUGGAAAUGCUGAUCGCAGCUCCUGACACCAUGUCUGUCUCUUUGUUCUUCAUGCUAUUUCUCAUUGCAAAGCACCCUAAUGUUGAAGAGGCAAUAAUAAAGGAAAUCCAGACUGUUAUUGGUAAGAAUUUAUCAAAUAAAUAAUACAUCUUAAAAACA
This 437-nucleotide small RNA is filed under the name Pan troglodytes (chimpanzee). RNAcentral describes it as "retained intron". The record is from RNAcentral. Lineage: Eukaryota; Metazoa; Chordata; Mammalia; Primates; Hominidae.